UGGGGAAUUUUGGACAAUGGGCGAAAGCCUGAUCCAGCAAUGCCGCGUGUGUGAAGAAGGCCUUCGGGUUGUAAAGCACUUUUGUCCGGAAAGAAAACGCCGUGGUUAAUACCCGUGGCGGAUGACGGUACCGGAAGAAUAAGCACCGGCUAACUACGUGCCAGCAGCCGCGGUAAUACGUAGGGUGCAAGCGUUAAUCGGAAUUACUGGGCGUAAAGCGUGCGCAGGCGGUCCGCUAAGACAGAUGUGAAAUCCCCGGGCUUAACCUGGGAACUGCAUUUGUGACUGGCGGGCUAGAGUAUGGCAGAGGGGGGUAGAAUUCCACGUGUAGCAGUGAAAUGCGUAGAGAUGUGGUGGAAUACCGAUGGCGAAGGCAGCCCCCUGGGCCAAUACUGACGCUCAUGCACGAAAGCGUGGGGAGCAAACAGG
This 429-nucleotide ribosomal RNA is filed under the name Bacillota bacterium. Its description in RNAcentral is "Firmicutes bacterium partial 16S ribosomal RNA". It matches the Rfam family "Bacterial small subunit ribosomal RNA", at positions 355 to 776 of the family's 1533-position model. Lineage: Bacteria; Bacillati; Bacillota. The record is from RNAcentral.